Molecule: ribosomal RNA, 494 nt
Filed under: Yarrowia lipolytica
Lineage: Eukaryota; Fungi; Ascomycota; Dipodascomycetes; Dipodascales
Description: partial 26S ribosomal RNA
Source: RNAcentral
UCAAGACGGGUGAAAUGGGUGGAUUAUGUCGUCGGUGGCAGUGUGGAGGGUUAGGGGAGAACGCCCGAAGGCGCUCCCAUUUGUAACCCUCGUCUCGCUAUCGAUGACUCGGCGUCGGCAGUACACCGCCCACGAGGGGCGGCUGAAACCUCGGCCACUCUCCACUCAUUUCCUUCCCUAUCAACAAUUUCACAUACUAUUUCACUCUCUUUUCAAAGUUCUUUUCACCUUUCCUUCACAGUACUUGUUCGCUAUCGGUCUCUCACCAGUAUUUAGCUUUAGAUGGAGUUUACCACCCACUUUGAGCUGCAUUCCCAAACAACUCGACUCUUUGAUAAGGCAAUACAUGGAGAACGGUUAGCCAGACGGGGUUGUCACCCUCUAUGACGUACUAUUCCAAGCAACUUGGGUUAGCUUUCUCCAAUGCCAAAUCUUCAAAUUACAAUCCCGAGGGUUUCAAAUUUGAGCUUUUGCCGCUUCACUCGCCGUUACUG